CAACCCUCGACACCCCUUCGGGGGAGUCGGCGUUGGGGACCGGCAGCAUACCGCCGGCCCCGAAAUACAGUGGCGGCCCGUCCGCGGCGACCUCUGCGUAGUACUCCAACGCGCACCGGGAACCCGACGCGGCCACGCCGUAAAACACCCAACUUCUGAA
RNAcentral lists this unclassified non-coding RNA (160 nucleotides) under uncultured Isaria. RNAcentral describes it as "sequence contains ITS2". Lineage: Eukaryota; Fungi; Ascomycota; Sordariomycetes; Hypocreales; Cordycipitaceae. The record is from RNAcentral.